GAUGAACGCUGGCGGCGUGCCUAAUACAUGCAAGUCGAGCGAACAGACGAGGAGCUUGCUCCUCUGACGUUAGCGGCGGACGGGUGAGUAACACGUGGAUAACCUACCUAUAAGACUGGGAUAACUUCGGGAAACCGGAGCUAAUACCGGAUAAUAUAUUGAACCGCAUGGUUCAAUAGUGAAAGACGGUUUUGCUGUCACUUAUAGAUGGAUCCGCGCCGCAUUAGCUAGUUGGUAAGGUAACGGCUUACCAAGGCAACGAUGCGUAGCCGACCUGAGAGGGUGAUCGGCCACACUGGAACUAAGACACGGUCCAGACUCCUACGGGAGGCAGCAGUAGGGAAUCUUCCGCAAUGGGCGAAAGCCUGACGGAGCAACGCCGCGUGAGUGAUGAAGGUCUUCGGAUCGUAAAACUCUGUUAUUAGGGAAGAACAAAUGUGUAAGUAACUAUGCACGGCUUGACGGUACCUAAUCAGAAAGCCACGGCUAACUACGUG
RNAcentral lists this ribosomal RNA (497 nucleotides) under uncultured bacterium. Its description in RNAcentral is "partial 16S ribosomal RNA". It matches the Rfam family "Bacterial small subunit ribosomal RNA", at positions 28 to 507 of the family's 1533-position model. The record is from RNAcentral.